RNAcentral lists this long non-coding RNA (698 nucleotides) under Gossypium barbadense (sea-island cotton). RNAcentral describes it as "long non-coding RNA (GBAR_LNC005271)". The record is from RNAcentral. Lineage: Eukaryota; Viridiplantae; Streptophyta; Magnoliopsida; Malvales; Malvaceae.
CACCACCUUGAACCACCAUUAUUUUGUUUUUGGCCACCCUUCCUCCACCGUUAGCCACCACUAUUCGACCUAAACACCACCACUUCAUCACGAUUCCUCUUUUUCUCUUAUUCUUUUUGUUCCGCUACCGCCCUUAGCGCCACCCUCUACUGUUGCAGCAACUACCGUGCAACUCCUCUAUUUUUUUCUUAAUUUUCUCUCUUCUCUUUUAAGUGAGUGACCAGACUUAUAAUCUUUUCUUCUCCUCUGCCGAACCGCUACUUCUGUAGUCGGAUCACCAUCGUCGUUGCCGCCAUCGCCGCUACCAUAGCUCCAUUGCCAACGGUUGGGAUUCUUCCCUCUUUCUUGUUCAAUUUUCAACCUUUGUUAUUCUUUUUAGUAAUAAAAAAAUGCAUUAUUUAUUUUAAAUUAAUUCUUAAUUCUAAACUUUUUCAUGGACUUAUUUUCAAAAAUAGUUAUCUUAUUUAGAUCCUCAUUUCCUUUCUGAUUCAUGUUCAAGACGAUUUAUUGAUCCUCUAUUCUAAUCAUGAUCGUGUAAGUGUACGGGUUGUGUAGAAAUAUUUUUCUCCUCACUAUUUUCUUCUCUUGGCCGAAUGCUUUUGAGGGCCUUAGUCAAUUAUUUCUCAAGUCGUAACAUCUCAUAUGUCAUGUUUAUUGAAGGGUCGAUCGACGCCAACUCGAGAGACCAUUAAUGUGGG